UACGAAGGGGGCUAGCGUUGCUCGGAAUCACUGGGCGUAAAGGGUGCGUAGGCGGAUUUCUAAGUCAGGGGUGAAAGCCUGAGGCUCAACCUCAGAACUGCCUUUGAUACUGGAAGUCUUGAGACCGGAAGAGGUAAGUGGAACUGCGAGUGUAGAGGUGAAAUUCGUAGAUAUUCGCAAGAACACCAGUGGCGAAGGCGGCUCACUGGCCCGAUACUGACACUGAGAAGCGAAAGCGUGGGGAGCGAACAGG
Molecule: ribosomal RNA, 253 nt
Filed under: uncultured bacterium
Lineage: Bacteria
Description: partial 16S ribosomal RNA
Rfam family: Bacterial small subunit ribosomal RNA
Source: RNAcentral